RNAcentral lists this transfer RNA (86 nucleotides) under Formicincola oecophyllae. Its description in RNAcentral is "Swingsia sp. F3b2 tRNA-Leu". It matches the Rfam family "tRNA". From Rfam's summary of the family: Transfer RNA (tRNA) molecules are approximately 80 nucleotides in length. Lineage: Bacteria; Pseudomonadati; Pseudomonadota; Alphaproteobacteria; Acetobacterales; Acetobacteraceae. The record is from RNAcentral.
GCGAGCGUGGCGGAAUGGUAGACGCAGCGGACUCAAAAUCCGCCGGAGGCAACUCCAUGGGGGUUCAAGUCCCCCCGCUCGCACCA